ACUCCUACGGGAGGCAGCAGUGGGGAAUAUUGGACAAUGGGCGCAAGCCUGAUCCAGCCAUGCCGCGUGAGUGAUGAAGGCCCUAGGGUUGUAAAGCUCUUUUGUGCGGGAAGAUAAUGACGGUACCGCAAGAAUAAGCCCCGGCUAACUUCGUGCCAGCAGCCGCGGUAAUACGAAGGGGGCUAGCGUUGCUCGGAAUCACUGGGCGUAAAGGGGUGCGUAGGCGGGUCUUUAAGUCAGGGGGUGAAAUCCUGGAGCUCAACUCCAGAACUGCCUUUGAUACUGAAGAUCUUGAGUUCGGGAGAGGUGAGUGGAACUGCGAGUGUAGAGGUGAAAUUCGUAGAUAUUCGCAAGAACACCAGUGGCGAAGGCGGCUCACUGGCCCGAUACUGACGCUGAGGCACGAAAGCGUGGGGAGCAAACAGGAUUAGAUACCCUGGUAGGAUAGCG
This 450-nucleotide ribosomal RNA is filed under the name uncultured bacterium. RNAcentral describes it as "bacterial SSU rRNA". It matches the Rfam family "Bacterial small subunit ribosomal RNA", at positions 335 to 799 of the family's 1533-position model. The record is from RNAcentral.